AACGAACGCUGGCGGCAGGCUUAACACAUGCAAGUCGAACGCUCGUAGCAAUACGGGAGUGGCGGACGGGUGAGUAACGCGUGGGAACGUGCCCUGAGGUACGGAAUAACUGCGGGAAACUGCAGCUAAUACCGUAUGAGCCCCGCAAGGGGGAAAGAUUUAUCGCCUUGGGAGCGGCCCGCGUCGGAUUAGCUAGUUGGUGGGGUAACGGCCUACCAAGGCUUCGAUCCGUAGCUGGUCUGAGAGGACGAUCAGCCACACUGGGACUGAGACACGGCCCAGACUCCUACGGGAGGCAGCAGUGGGGAAUCUUGCGCAAUGGGGGCAACCCUGACGCAGCCAUGCCGCGUGAAUGAUGAAGGCCUUAGGGUUGUAAAGUUCUUUUGCCCGUGACGAUGAUGACGGUAACGGGAGAAUAAGCUCCGGCUAACUUCGUGCCAGCAGCCGCGGU
This 451-nucleotide ribosomal RNA is filed under the name uncultured bacterium. RNAcentral's name for it is "bacterial SSU rRNA". It matches the Rfam family "Bacterial small subunit ribosomal RNA", at positions 29 to 521 of the family's 1533-position model. The record is from RNAcentral.